This 354-nucleotide ribosomal RNA is filed under the name Streptococcus sanguinis. Its description in RNAcentral is "bacterial SSU rRNA". It matches the Rfam family "Bacterial small subunit ribosomal RNA", at positions 566 to 926 of the family's 1533-position model. The record is from RNAcentral. Lineage: Bacteria; Bacillati; Bacillota; Bacilli; Lactobacillales; Streptococcaceae.
CGAGCGCAGGCGGUUAGAUAAGUCUGAAGUUNAAGGCUGUGGCAUAGUAUGCUUUGGAAACUGUUUAACUUGAGUGCAGAAGGGGAGAGUGGAAUUCCAUGUGUAGCGGUGAAAUGCGUAGAUAUAUGGAGGAACACCGGUGGCGAAAGCGGCUCUCUGGUCUGUAACUGACGCUGAGGCUCGAAAGCGUGGGGAGCAAACAGGAUUAGAUACGGUNGUAGUCCACGCCGUUAACGAUGAGUGCUAGGUGUUAGGCCCUUUCCGGGGCUUAGUGCCGCAGCUAACGCAUUAAGCNCUCCGCCUGGGGAGUACGACCGCAAGGUUGAAACUCAAAGGAAUUGACGGGGGCCGCAC